UUUCAGCCUCAGUCAUCUCUCCGAUGUGCGUUUUUAAACUUGAUCCUACAAGCAGGUCUGCAAAGAGAUAUUGUUUCACUCAGUGCUUGAGAAGAAGUGAGAGUUGCGCCAGGAGAAUGCGCUGAGGUCAACGGGGUCGUCAACGGGGUCGUCAACGGGACCUGUUCUGAGGCAGUGGACCACAUCAAGACGGCCGUGAUGACAGAGCUGUGGCGGAUCCCAGAAGAAUGCUUCCAGAGUCGCAAGGAGCUGGAGCCUGUACAAGCUGACUUGGGCUAAAAGGAGGACUACACACUGGUCGCCUGUCAACCAUUGGGUACACAUACAACCAGAGUUCACCAGAGGUUCAUUCGUGCCCAGCAGAGGAGUGCCAAAGUCAGCCUGCCAUAUUCUGGACUCAUGAAGUUCAGCCCCCAAGAGGAGGAAAUGUUCUGUCCUCGCCUUGGUGGUUGCAUGCGUAUGCACACUGAGAGUAUUUAGUAUGCUUAACUGCUUUGGUGUGCAGCGUUUAAAAACACGAUGAGAUCAUCAUCAUUAGUGGUCUCUUUGGCUGAGGCAUGGAAAACUGUGACAGCGUUGGUCACGUAAAUGGAGGGAGAUAUUCUUGCCACUUGUACCAUUCAGCAUGUCAAACAGACGUGAAAAAGCAGUGCACCAGACCACAAAACGUCAGUGUUUUCAGGACUGUUUUGUUUGCAUGAGCAAACCUCAAACCCACAAUAUGAUUGACCUUACCUGACCUUUGGA
Long non-coding RNA from Syngnathoides biaculeatus (alligator pipefish), 747 nucleotides. RefSeq lists it as uncharacterized. NCBI's taxonomy places the organism in Eukaryota, Metazoa, Chordata, Actinopteri, Syngnathiformes, Syngnathidae. The record is from RefSeq and is a predicted model, not a curated record. The transcript has 4 exons.